GAUGAACGCUGGCGGCGUACCUAAUACAUGCAAGUCGAGCGAACAGACGAGGAGCUUGCUCCUCUGACGUUAGCGGCGGACGGGUGAGUAACACGUGGAUAACCUACCUAUAAGACUGGGAUAACUUCGGGAAACCGGAGCUAAUACCGGAUAAUAUAUUGAACCGCAUGGUUCAAUAGUGAAAGACGGUUUUGCUGUCACUGAUAGAUGGAUCCGCGCCGCAUUAGCUAGUUGGUAAGGUAACGGCUUACCAAGGCGACGAUGCGUAGCCGACCUGAGAGGGUGAUCGGCCACACUGGAACUGAGACACGGUCCAGAGUCCUACGGGAGGCAGCAGUAGGGAAUCGUCCGCAAUGGGCGAAAGCCUGACGGAGCAACGCCGCGUGAGUGAUGAAGGUCUUCGGAUCGUAAAACUCUGUUAUUGGGGAAGAACAAAUGUGUAAGUAACUAUGCACGUCUUGACGGUACCUAAUAAGAAAGCCACGGCUAACUACGUG
This 497-nucleotide ribosomal RNA is filed under the name uncultured bacterium. Its description in RNAcentral is "partial 16S ribosomal RNA". It matches the Rfam family "Bacterial small subunit ribosomal RNA", at positions 28 to 507 of the family's 1533-position model. The record is from RNAcentral.